Molecule: ribosomal RNA, 217 nt
Filed under: uncultured Methanomicrobiales archaeon
Lineage: Archaea; Methanobacteriati; Methanobacteriota; Methanomicrobia; Methanomicrobiales
Description: partial 16S ribosomal RNA
Rfam family: Archaeal small subunit ribosomal RNA
Source: RNAcentral
AAGGAAUGGGCAACGGUAGGUCCAGCAUGCCCCGAAUUAUCUGGGCUACACGCGGGCUACAAUGGGUGGGACAAUGGGUAAUCGACACCGAAAGGUGAAGGCCAAAUCUCCUAAACCCAUCCGUAGUUCGGAUUGUGGGCUGCAACUCGCCCACAUGAAGCUGGAAUCUGUAGUAAUCGUGUCUCAAAAUGGCACGGUGAAUAUGUCCCUGCUCCUU